AACGAACGCUGGCGGCAGGCUUAACACAUGCAAGUCGAGCGCUCACUUCGGUGGGAGCGGCAGACGGGUGAGUAACGCGUGGGAAUCUACCCAACUCUACGGAAUAACUCAGGGAAACUUGUGCUAAUACCGUAUACGCCCUUCGGGGGAAAGAUUUAUCGGAGUUGGAUGAGCCCGCGUUGGAUUAGCUAGUUGGUGGGGUAAAGGCCUACCAAGGCGACGAUCCAUAGCUGGUCUGAGAGGAUGAUCAGCCACACUGGGACUGAGACACGGCCCAG
RNAcentral lists this ribosomal RNA (278 nucleotides) under uncultured Mesorhizobium sp. Its description in RNAcentral is "partial 16S ribosomal RNA". It matches the Rfam family "Bacterial small subunit ribosomal RNA", at positions 29 to 334 of the family's 1533-position model. Lineage: Bacteria; Pseudomonadati; Pseudomonadota; Alphaproteobacteria; Hyphomicrobiales; Phyllobacteriaceae. The record is from RNAcentral.